Molecule: long non-coding RNA, 493 nt
Organism: Helianthus annuus (common sunflower)
Lineage: Eukaryota; Viridiplantae; Streptophyta; Magnoliopsida; Asterales; Asteraceae
Exons: 6
Source: RefSeq, a predicted model, not a curated record
GUUGAGACUAAAAGGUUUCGAUUUGGGUAAAUAACUGGAUCUGGAUUUUCCUUCUUUUUUUUUCCUUCUUGGUGUCGAUUCGAGCUUCACAGUUUAAUUCCUGAGUUCAGGGGUCCUUAUCAUAAAGCCCAUGAAAAGUCUCUACCAAGUGUAAUCUUAUUUCCCAAAGCCAUCACAUUUUAUGUAACUUGGUAGUUCUCUGGCUGCUGGUUUGCGAGAGAAGCUGGAUUUUUUUGGGUCUGUAUUACUUGGUCAAAUGGGGUUAUUAGAUUGUUAGUUGACUUAUUGUUAAUGAUAUUGUGGUUUAGACUGAUGAUGCUUUUGCUGAUUUGCUUCAAACCCUAGCUGAUAUGGAUCUGACUUUUACAGUCCUUAAGGAAGGGAUGUUAAUCGACUUCGAAAGCAUCCGUCAAAUGAAGUAAGAGGACUGGUGAAGCAAUUGGUGAGGAAAUGGAAGGAUUUGGUGGAUGAAUGGGUCGGGUUGAACAAUAGU